RNAcentral lists this ribosomal RNA (460 nucleotides) under uncultured bacterium. RNAcentral describes it as "partial 16S ribosomal RNA". It matches the Rfam family "Bacterial small subunit ribosomal RNA", at positions 338 to 795 of the family's 1533-position model. The record is from RNAcentral.
CCUACGGGAGGCAGCAGUGAGGAAUAUUGGUCAAUGGACGAGAGUCUGAACCAGCCAAGUAGCGUGAAGGAUGACUGCCCUAUGGGUUGUAAACUUCUUUUAUAUGGGAAUAAAAUGUUCCACGUGUGGGCUUUUGUAUGUACCAUAUGAAUAAGGAUCGGCUAACUCCGUGCCAGCAGCCGCGGUAAUACGGAGGGUCCGAGCGUUAUCCGGAUUUAUUGGGUUUAACGGGAGCGUAGGUGGAUGGUUAAGUCAGUUGUGAAAGUUUGCGGCUCAACCGUAGAAUUGCAGUUGAAACUGGCAGUCUUGAGUACAGUAGAGGUGGGCGGAAUUCGUGGUGUAGCGGUGAAAUGCUUAGAUAUGACGAAGAACUCCGAUUGCGAAGGCAGCUCACUGGACUGAGACUGACACUGAGGCGCGAAAGUGUGGGUAUCAAACAGGAUUAGAUACCCGAGUAGUC